This 508-nucleotide ribosomal RNA is filed under the name uncultured bacterium. RNAcentral's name for it is "partial 16S ribosomal RNA". It matches the Rfam family "Bacterial small subunit ribosomal RNA", at positions 899 to 1397 of the family's 1533-position model. The record is from RNAcentral.
ACUCAAAUGAAUAGACGGGGGCCUGCACAAGCGGUGGAGUAUGUGGCUUAAUUCGAUGCAACGCGAAGAACCUUACCUGGCCUUGACAUGUACGUAGUAGAAGGGUGAAAGCCCGACGAGGUAGCAAUACCAGCGUACACAGGUGCUGCAUGGCUGUCGUCAGCUCGUGUCGUGAGAUGUUGGGUUAAGUCCCGCAACGAGCGCAACCCUUGCGUCCAGUUGCCGCUCGGACGAGAGUUCGAAGCACUCUGGACGGACUGCCUCAUUUAAAUGAGGAGGAAGGUGGGGAUGACGUCAAGUCAGUAUGGCCCUUACGGCCAGGGCUGCACACGUACUACAAUGCCCGGCACAGAGGGAAGCAAGAGCGUGAGCUGGAGCAAAUCCCUUAAAACCGGGCCCAGUUCAGAUUGUCGUCUGCAACUCGACGGCAUGAAGCCGGAAUCGCUAGUAAUGGCGCAUCAGCUACGGCGCCGUGAAUACGUUCCCAGGCCUUGUACACACCGCCCGU